ACGCUCGACACCUACCGGAGGCAGCAGUGAGGAAUAUUGGUCAAUGGGCGCUAGCCUGAACCAGCCAAGUAGCGUGAAGGAUGAAGGCUCUAUGGGUCGUAAACUUCUUUUAUAUAAGAAUAAAGUGCAGUAUGUAUACUGUUUUGUAUGUAUUAUAUGAAUAAGGAUCGGCUAACUCCGUGCCAGCAGCCGCGGUAAUCUGAGCGGGCUGGCAAGGC
This 218-nucleotide ribosomal RNA is filed under the name uncultured bacterium. RNAcentral's name for it is "partial 16S ribosomal RNA". It matches the Rfam family "Bacterial small subunit ribosomal RNA", at positions 328 to 539 of the family's 1533-position model. The record is from RNAcentral.